CCUGGCUUUGUCUUGCAGGGUGCUGGCAGCUUGCUGGGGCGGUGUGUGUGCACCCCGCAUGUGUGGCUGGAUCUGGGGGGCCGGCAGCCCCCCCGGCUGCGACGUUACCCGCUGGAGGGGCCGGGGGGGCCGGCGGGGGAGCUGCUGGCUGCCUUCGAGCUGCUGCACGAGGCUGAGGAGGGGGCCCUGGCGCAGCUCAGCACCCCCCCGUGGAGAGACGGCACCUUCAGCGUCCCCCUGGGCAUCCGGCCCCUGCUGCGGCUGGUGGCACUCGAGGUGCUGGCGUGGGGGCUGCGGGGGCUGCGCGGCCGCUCCCCCCUGCCCGUGCGCGCCCCCAGCCUGGAGGUGCAGUGCGGGGGCCAGGUCCUGCGCACGCCCCCCAUCGCCGACCUCGCCGCCAACCCCAACUUCCCCAUCAACGCCUUCCUGCUGCCGCUGCACCUGCCGGCGGAGGAGGAGUACGUGCCCCCCCUGCGGCUGCGGGUGCUGGACACGCAGGGGUUCGGGUACCGGCCCGAGCUGGGGCAGGCGUGCGUGCGGGGCUUGGGGCGCUUCUGCUGCCAGCCCCACGGCGGGGGGCAGCCACAUGGGCCCGGUGCCCCCCUGGCGAGCCUUGGUCCUGGUACAGCCCUGCCUGCCCCUGCCCAUCCCUGCCCUCUCCCUGGAAGCCCCUUCCCCAUUCCUGGUACCUCCCUUUCCCAUCCCAUCCCUUCCUUUUCCACCCCUUCCCCAUCCCUUCCCAUCCCUUGUCCAUCUCUUCCCCAUCCCUUCCUACCCCUUCCCACCCCUUCCCCUUCCCUUCCCCUUCCCUUCCUAUCCCUUCCUUAUCCCUGGAACCUCCCUUCUCAUCCUUUGUGCCUCUCUUCCCAUCCCUUCCCCAACCUUUCCUCAUCCCUUCUCCAUCCCUUCUCAUCCCUUCUUAUUCCUUCCCCAUCCCUUCUUUCUUAUCCCUUUCCCAUCCCUCCCCCAUCCCUCCCCAUCCCUCCCCAUCCCUUCCCCUCUCUGGGAUGAUUUCUUUCCCCUCUCCCCACGCAGCCACUGCCUGGGACAGGAUCGCUCAGGUGAGUCCCCUCCUGUCCCCCCCUCACCCAGCCCCGGCAGCGCUGGCCCCACAGAGGGGUCCCCGGCCCCCCACCCCCGUUCCCCAAGGCGUCCCCUCCGCUCCCUGCAGAUCCUGCCCAAGGUCACCGCUGAGAAGGGGGCUGCGGACAAGGUGGGCACGGGAACGGGGCCUCCAAGGGCACCGGGGCCACCCCUCCCCGCCUCACCCUGCUCCCCACCAGGCUGCGGAGAGGGAGGAAGAGAACGAGGACGAGGGAGACUGGUGGAGCAAAUUCUAUGCGGCCAUGGGGGACACUGCAAAGAGCCACCGGGGGACACACAGGGACAGCCUCAAGGUGAGCCGGGGCAGGGGGCAAGGACAGAGAUGGAGACAGAUGGGAAUAGGAUGGGGAGGAGGGUGGGGAAGAGGAUUGGGGCAGAGAUGAGGUGGCAAUGGGAACAAUGAUGGGGAUGGGGACAGGGACGGUUGGGGACACUCAGAUGGGGACAGGGAUGAAGACACAGGGGGAUGAAGUCAGGGAUGGAGACUGGGAGGGGAACAGGAUGGGGACAAGGACAGGGGCAGGAGAAGUGAUGAAAGGGAUGGGAUGGAGACAGGGAUGGGGAUGGGGACAGGAAUGAGUACAAGACGAGGACAGGGACAGGAGUAAAGGUGGGGAGGGGACAGGAAUAAAGAUGGGAGGGGACAGGGACUGGGCUGGGGA
RNAcentral lists this long non-coding RNA (1766 nucleotides) under Anas platyrhynchos platyrhynchos (common mallard). Its description in RNAcentral is "lncRNA (ENSAPLG00000019617.1)". Lineage: Eukaryota; Metazoa; Chordata; Aves; Anseriformes; Anatidae. The record is from RNAcentral.